This 433-nucleotide ribosomal RNA is filed under the name uncultured bacterium. Its description in RNAcentral is "partial 16S ribosomal RNA". It matches the Rfam family "Bacterial small subunit ribosomal RNA", at positions 29 to 507 of the family's 1533-position model. The record is from RNAcentral.
AACGAACGCUGGCGGCAGGCCUAACACAUGCAAGUCGAGCGCGCCCUUCGGGGUGAGCGGCGGACGGGUGAGUAACGCGUGGGAACGUGCCCUUUUCUACGGAAUAGCCUCGGGAAACUGAGAGUAAUACCGUAUACGCCCUUUGGGGGAAAGAUUUAUCGGAAAAGGAUCGGCCCGCGUUGGAUUAGGUAGUUGGUGGGGUAAUGGCCUACCAAGCCGACGAUCCAUAGCUGGUUUGAGAGGAUGAUCAGCCACACUGGGACUGAGACACGGCCCAGACUCCUACGGAAGGCAGCAGUGGGGAAUCUUAGACAAUGGGGGCAACCCUGAUCUAGCCAUGCCGCGUAAGUGAUGAAGGCCUUAGGGUUGUAAAGCUCUUUCAGCUGGGAAGAUAAUGACGGUACCAGCAGAAGAAGCCCCGGCUAACUCCGUG